This 88-nucleotide transfer RNA is filed under the name Bacteroidota bacterium. Its description in RNAcentral is "Bacteroidetes bacterium tRNA-Leu". It matches the Rfam family "tRNA". From Rfam's summary of the family: Transfer RNA (tRNA) molecules are approximately 80 nucleotides in length. Their secondary structure includes four short double-helical elements and three loops (D, anti-codon, and T loops). The record is from RNAcentral. Lineage: Bacteria; Pseudomonadati; Bacteroidota.
GCGGAUGUGGCGGAAUUGGUAGACGCGCUAGAUUCAGGUUCUAGUGGUGGUUAACACCGUGGAGGUUCGAGUCCUCUCAUCCGCACCA